GGGAUUGUAGUUCAAUUCGUCAGAGCACCGCCCUGUCAAGGCGGAAGCUGCGGGUUCGAGCCCCGUCAGUCCCG
RNAcentral lists this transfer RNA (74 nucleotides) under Triticum aestivum (bread wheat). It matches the Rfam family "tRNA". From Rfam's summary of the family: Transfer RNA (tRNA) molecules are approximately 80 nucleotides in length. Their secondary structure includes four short double-helical elements and three loops (D, anti-codon, and T loops). RNAcentral also lists the same sequence under 1 other name. Lineage: Eukaryota; Viridiplantae; Streptophyta; Magnoliopsida; Poales; Poaceae. The record is from Rfam by way of RNAcentral.